RNAcentral lists this ribosomal RNA (497 nucleotides) under uncultured bacterium. RNAcentral describes it as "partial 16S ribosomal RNA". It matches the Rfam family "Bacterial small subunit ribosomal RNA", at positions 28 to 507 of the family's 1533-position model. The record is from RNAcentral.
GAUGAACGCUGGCGGCGUGCCUAAUACAUGCAAGUCGAGCGAACAGACAAGGAGCUUGCUCCUCUGACGUUAGCGGCGGACGGGUGAGUAACACGUGGAUAACCUACCUAUAAGACUGGGAUAACUUCGGGAAACCGGAGCUAAUACCGGAUAAUAUAUUGAACCGCAUGGUUCAAUAGUGAAAGACGGUUUUGCUGUCACUUAUAGAUGGAUCCGCGCCGCAUUAGCUAGUUGGUAAGGUAACGGCUUACCAAGGCAACGAUGCGUAGCCGACCUGAGAGGGGGAUCGGCCACACUGGAACUGAGACACGGUCCAGACUCCUACGGGAGGCAGCAGUAGGGAAUCUUCCGCAAUGGGCGAAAGCCUGACGGAGCAACGCCGCGUGAGUGAUGAAGGUCUUCGGAUCGUAAAACUCUGUUAUUAGGGAAGAACAAAUGUGUAAGUAACUAUGCACGUCUUGACGGUACCUAAUCAGAAAGCCACGGCUAACUACGUG